GUGGGGAAUAUUCCGCAAUGGACGAAAGUCUGACGGAGCAACGCCGCGUGAGUGAUGAAGGUUUUCGGACUGUAAAGCUCUGUUGUUUAGGACGAAAGUGCCUGUUGCGAACAGUUACAGGUAUUGACGGUACUAAACGAGGAAGCCACGGCUAACUACGUGCCAGCAGCCGCGGUAAUACGUAGGUGGCAAGCGUUGUCCGGAAUUAUUGGGCGUAAAGAGCAUGUAGGCGGAGAUUUAAGUCUGUUGUGAAAAUGCGGGGCUCAACCCCGUAUUGCGAUUGAAACUGAAUUUCUUGAGUGCAGGAGAGGAAAGGGGAAUUCCCAGUGUAGCGGUGAAAUGCGUAGAUAUUGGGAGGAACACCAGUGGCGAAGGCGCCUUUCUGGACUGUGUCUGACGCUGAGAUGCGAAAGCCAGGGUAGCGAACGGGAUUAGAAACCCCUGUAGUCC
RNAcentral lists this ribosomal RNA (450 nucleotides) under uncultured bacterium. RNAcentral describes it as "partial 16S ribosomal RNA". It matches the Rfam family "Bacterial small subunit ribosomal RNA", at positions 354 to 796 of the family's 1533-position model. The record is from RNAcentral.